CCCUUAGAUGUUCUGGGCCGCACGCGCGCUACACUGAUGCAUUCAACGAGUCUAAAACCUGCUCUGAUAGGGGUGGGUAAUCUUUUGAAUGUGCAUCGUGAUUGGGAUAGAUGAUAGCAAUUUUUCAUCUUCAACGAGGAAUGCCUAGUAAACGCAAGUCAUCAGCUUGCAUUGAUUACGUCCCUGCCCUUUGUACACACCGCCCGUCGCUCCUACCGAUUGAAUGAUCCGAUGAAUAUCAUGGAUUGAGGAUGCAAGUAGGUUAGCCUAUCUUCAUCUUCGAGAAGUGAAGUAAAUCUUAUCAUUUAGAGGAAGGAGAAGUCGUAACA
Molecule: ribosomal RNA, 329 nt
Filed under: uncultured eukaryote
Lineage: Eukaryota
Description: partial 18S ribosomal RNA
Rfam family: Eukaryotic small subunit ribosomal RNA
Source: RNAcentral